This 431-nucleotide ribosomal RNA is filed under the name uncultured Bacillota bacterium. RNAcentral describes it as "bacterial SSU rRNA". The stretch from base 114 to 431 matches the Rfam family "Bacterial small subunit ribosomal RNA", at positions 1 to 298 of the family's 1533-position model. The record is from RNAcentral. Lineage: Bacteria; Bacillati; Bacillota.
CGGCCGCGUCGACGUUAAACAAUUCCAAUAUACAAGUAAUUCGUGGAUGCAAGCGUUAUUGUAUCUGAGAAAUUACAGCGAUUUAAUUCAGAGUAAUCUGGUUUAAAUACCAUUUUAUGAAGAGUUUGAUCCUGGCUCAGGACGAACGCUGGCGGCGCGCCUAACACAUGCAAGUCGAACGGAGCUUGCUUGUCAGAUCCUUUCGGGGUGACGACUUGUAAGCUUAGUGGCGAACGGGUGAGUAACACGUGAGCAACCUGCCCCAGAGUGGGGGACAACAGUUGGAAACGACUGCUAAUACCGCAUAAGCCCACAGUACCGCAUGGUACAGAGGGAAAAGGAGCAAUUCGCUUUGGGAUGGACUCGCGUCCGAUUAGCUAGAUGGUGAGGUAACGGCCCACCAUGGCGACGAUCGGCGGUCGACGCGGCCG